UUUAAAGGGUGCGUAGGCGGGUUAUUAAGUCAGUGGUGAAAUUACAGUGCUUAACAUUGUAGCUGCCAUUGAUACUGAUAGUCUGGAGUUUAGUUGACGUUGGCGGAAUGUGUCAUGUAGCGGUGAAAUGCAUAGAUAUGACACAGAACACCGAUAGCGAAGGCAGCUGACGAAACUAUAACUGACGCUGAUGCACGAAAGCGUGGGGAUCAAACAGGAUUAGAUACCCUGGUAGUCCACGCUGUAAACGAUGAUCACUAGCUGUAUGCGAUACACAGUAUGUGGCUAAGGGAAACCGAUAAGUGAUCCACCUGGGGAGUACGUCGGCAACGAUGAAACUCAAAGGAAUUGACGGGGGCCCGCACAAGCGGAGGAGCAUGUGGUUUAAUUCGAUGAUACGCGAGGAACCUUACCUGGGCUUGAACGUAUGGUGCAUGUGGGUGAAAGCUCACUUUCUAGCAAUAGACUUCAUACGAGGUGCUGCAUGGUUGUCGUCAGCUCGUGCCGUGAGGUGUUAGGUUAAGUCCUGCAACGAGCGCAACCCCUGUAUUUAGUUGCCAUCAGGUAAAGCUGGGCACUUUAGAUAGACUGCCUGCGCAAGCAGAGAGGAAGGUGGGGAUGACGUCAAAUCAGCACGGCCCUUACGUCCAGGGCUACACACGUGCUACAAUGGCCGGUACAGAGGGCAGCCACUGGGUGACC
RNAcentral lists this ribosomal RNA (702 nucleotides) under uncultured bacterium. RNAcentral's name for it is "bacterial SSU rRNA". It matches the Rfam family "Bacterial small subunit ribosomal RNA", at positions 559 to 1262 of the family's 1533-position model. The record is from RNAcentral.